This is a long non-coding RNA of Pseudophryne corroboree (corroboree frog), 619 nucleotides long. RefSeq lists it as uncharacterized. The record is from RefSeq and is a predicted model, not a curated record. NCBI's taxonomy places the organism in Eukaryota, Metazoa, Chordata, Amphibia, Anura, Myobatrachidae. The transcript has 2 exons.
GUUAGCGGGUCGCCGGCGGGUAUGGCGGCACAAGGGUGGGAGAGCAGCGCUGGGUGCAGGCUGCGCUCCAGGAGGCUCAGAAAUCACGUGUGUGUUAGACGCUGCUGAGGGGCACGCUGAGCCACCGCUGACACCCUACACUUGCUAAUUGUUUGACAGGGGCUCUAAGCCGCUGUCAGACACUAAUAUACCUCAGUCCAGUAUAAAAAAAAUUGGGCAAGCCGAGCGCCAUUACGGGGGGCGGGGCUUUGCUAUGAGCGGACCCAGCAGCUCACCAGCGCCAUUUUCUCCCUGCAGAUCUAUACAGAGGACGCUGACAGGGAAGCGCUGCCCCUCCACAUCAACUCCAGACUAUCUCUGCGGUACAAGGGCAGAUUCCCUGGAUGGAUGGACAGAUCAUCCCUAGCUGUACAGAGCACCCCUGAAGGACAAAGCAGACCCAUGAUGGACUGACAGAGCACCUCUAGAUUGACAGAGCACCCUUGGAUGGGUACAGCAGCCACUUGUCAGACUGAGCAGCCCUUGAUGGACAACACAUCACUCACUUGUGUACAACAAAGCACCCGUGGGGGCGGGCACAGCACCCCUGUAUGUGCAAUAAAGAACACCUGGGGACAGA